AGGACGAACGCUGGCGGCGUGCUUAACACAUGCAAGUCACGGGGGCCCGCAAGGGCAACCGGCGAACGGGUGCGUAACACGUGAGCAACCUGCCUUUGUGUGGGGGAUAGCCGGGCUAACGCCCGGGUAAUACCGCAUACGGUCGCUGGGGGAGUCCCUCGGCGAAGAAACCUCCGGGGCACAGAGAGGGGCUCGCGGCCUAUCAGCUCGUUGGCGGGGUAACGGCCCACCAAGGCGACGACGGGUAGCCGGCCUGAGAGGGCGACCGGCCACGACUGGGACUGAGACACGGCCCAGACUCCUACGGGAGGCAGCAGUGGGGAAUAUUGCGCAAUGGGCGAAAGCCUGACGCAGCGACGCCGCGUGAGGGACGACGGCCUUCGGGUUGUAAACCUCUUUCAGCAGGGACGAAGCGAAAGUGACGGUACCUGCAGAAGAAGCACCGGCCAACUACGUGCCAGCAGCCGC
RNAcentral lists this ribosomal RNA (468 nucleotides) under uncultured bacterium. RNAcentral's name for it is "SSU rRNA". It matches the Rfam family "Bacterial small subunit ribosomal RNA", at positions 26 to 518 of the family's 1533-position model. The record is from RNAcentral.